GCUGAAAAGCCGAGAAGUGAUUCUUUCUCCUUUGAAACCCUAAAUGUAUUGAAUCAAACUAUCCACUGAACCUUGUCCUUGUUAUGAAUUAAAUUAUCAGUCUUCAUUUCUGCACAUCUCACAAAAUCCAAUGGCAAGGAAAUUCUGAGAGAGACAGACUUUGCUUCCAGUUGGCAUUUGGUCCUGAAGUGCUGGCAACCUUUAUUUGCCUGGGAAAAUAAUUCUACUUAAUUUUCAAGGCCCCAUUUCAAGGGUCACCUCACUUGCAAAACUUUUCCUGAGCACCAUUCACUCAGGUUAAGUCCACCCGCUGACCCUUACCAUUACUGUCCUCAUGUGAAGCAUGGCGGCACUGUGGAUAACCAAGUAGCUGUAGCUCUGGAUUCCCAAAAGAAUAGUCUCUGGAAAGUAGGUACAGCACCUCCAAUGCAUGGCCCAUUCUGAGUACCAAAUUAAUAUUUUGGGAAUCCAUAAAGAACAGCUGGAGUCUGUCGCCUCAAAACAAGCAUAAUUUUAGAUUUGGAGCAGAUACUGUACAGCUUCAGACUGCCUUCAAAGGGAACAGUGCUCCUCAGAAGCCUUUCAGUUCAAGGCAGUCUAAAGCAAGACCUGAAGAAUCCAACUGAUAAAAGCAGAAGCCAGGAUUUAUACCUAGUCUGUGUAUCAACAGCACCCUCUGAAGGCUCUUCCUACGUGAUCUGCAGGGACAAGUCUAUCCAUGUCCGCUGAGCACUCAUAAACAGUGCAAGGAAGGUCCUCUUCUCUCCCUCUCCCCAUCUCCCUCCUUUCUUAUCCCUUUCUUCUUCCCUCCUUCCCCCCCUUUUUUCCUUUUUCAUGGUAAAAUAUGAUAGGUUCUUCUUUGUGGCUAUUCUAUCUUUUGGCAUUUCCAUUACUUCUUCUGUGGUCAUAGUGAUUAUGAGUAAAGUCUCCAGGAGGUAAAGGGCUUGGUUCAAGGGUCAACUAAGAGACUCUAACUACUGCUUCAUUCUGUUGUGGUUAUAGAACAUAAAAGGAUGGAAUGGCAGUGGCAGAGUUAAGCGAGCCCUUGGUUAAGUCUGCAUUAAUUGAUUGCCGUCCUCCUUAAUCCAUCCAGG
RNAcentral lists this long non-coding RNA (1094 nucleotides) under Chinchilla lanigera (long-tailed chinchilla). RNAcentral describes it as "lncRNA (ENSCLAG00000023891.1)". The record is from RNAcentral. Lineage: Eukaryota; Metazoa; Chordata; Mammalia; Rodentia; Chinchillidae.